RNAcentral lists this ribosomal RNA (497 nucleotides) under uncultured bacterium. RNAcentral's name for it is "partial 16S ribosomal RNA". It matches the Rfam family "Bacterial small subunit ribosomal RNA", at positions 28 to 507 of the family's 1533-position model. The record is from RNAcentral.
GAUGAACGCUGGCGGCGUGCCUAAUACAUGCAAGUCGAGCGAACAGACGAGGAGCUUGCUCCUCUGACGUUAGCGGCGGACGGGUGAGUAACACGUGGAUAACCUACCUAUAAGACUGGGAUAACUUCGGGAAACCGGAGCUAAUACCGGAUAAUAUUUUGAACCGCAUGGUUCAAUAGUGAAAGACGGUUUUGCUGUCACUUAUAGAUGGAUCCGCGCCGCAUUAGCUAGUUGGUAAGGUAACGGCUUUCCAAGGCAACGAUGCAUAGCCGACCUGAGAGGGUGAUCGGCCACACUGGAACUGAGACACGGUCCAGACUCCUACGGGAGGCAGCAGUAGGGAAUCUUCCGCAAUGGGCGAAAGCCUGACGGAGCAACGCCGCGUGAGUGAUGAAGGUCUUCGGAUCGUAAAACUCUGUUAUUAGGGAAGAACAAAUGUGUAAGUAACUAUGCACGUCUUGACGGUACCUAAUCAGAAAGCCACGGCUAACUACGUG